RNAcentral lists this long non-coding RNA (3187 nucleotides) under Nicotiana tabacum (common tobacco). RNAcentral describes it as "long non-coding RNA (NTAB_LNC003438)". The record is from RNAcentral. Lineage: Eukaryota; Viridiplantae; Streptophyta; Magnoliopsida; Solanales; Solanaceae.
AUCAAUCAGCAUACACUGAAAAGAUUUUAAAGCAAUUCUAUAUGGAUAUAUAAAGCACAUCCAUUAAAUACCCUGAUGAUUGUGAUAUCAUUCGAUAUAAAUAAAGAUCCAUUCCGACCUCAUGAAAAUAAUGAAGAGCUUCUUGGUCCUGAAGUACCAUGUCUUAGUACAAUUGGUGCACUAAUGUAUCCUGAUAGUAUUUAACUUGAAAAGUUGCUGCUGUUACCACUGUUGAAGGAGAGUUGAUGCAUCAACUACUGCUUCUUCGUUCUCAAUAUUUAAUGGCUUAAGCUCAAUUGAACUCACAAAUGGAGUUUUGCAUUCCAAGAAAGCACUGAAAAAUCACACAUGAAUUUUGCCGCUACGAUGAUUUCUGGCCAGUGAAAAGAGGAGCUUCUCUUAUUUUUUGUUUUUCCUGUUUCUUUUUAAGUAAAAAUUAUAUACGGAUACACUCUGAAUUUUAAAUCCAAUACUUAUUUUGGUUGAUGUUUAAAUAAGUGGUUAUUUCCUAUUUAAGACUUAAGGUUUAGAUAAGUGGUUAGAUAUUUUCGCUUAUUUUAAAUCAAACACUUACAUCUCUAUACUAUAGAUAUCUCACAAAAAUAUAUAUGAUAAUAAUGUUAUCUCCAUUUUUCUAAUAAAAAAUAUUUAAAAACUCCUAUAUAACAAAAAUCCUACACAAAGGAAAGUUCAUCUAAUUUGAAACAGAACAAUAAAUAAUCAAACCAAAUAAACUCUGAAAUUCAUAUAUAAUAAAAUAUUACAAUAGCUUCCAUGUUUAAAAUGCAAAAAAUAUAUUACUGUUAAUAUGUGGUUAUUUCCUAUUUAAGAAGUUUGAAAGAUAUACGUUUCAGAAAACAUUUAUCCUUUUUAAAUUUCAUAAAAUUAAUUGUGUAACAACUUAUUAAUUGAAAUUUUAAUUUUACUUUAAUACUUAGUUACAAAUUAUAUAUCUCAAAUUUUUCAAAAUUAAACGCUUAACAUCCUAUUAUAAUUGAAACAUUAUCAAAGCUAAUACUUCUGUGAGAUUUCAUAUUAUAGAGGGUGUAAGAGUUUGAUUGUAAAAUGCAAGUGGUGUAUUUGCAAUUGAAUCAUAUUUUAAGAGUGUUUAGCAUAUUUUAAAACUAAUAUUAACAAAAAUCACACAUUUGAUUAAAUUAAAGAUCAGAAAAAGCUGAGUGGAAUAAAAUUAGGAUCAAAACAAGAAACACAUAUUAACUCAAGGACUAAAAUAAGAAUUUCUCAUUUUACAUUAUAUAUUAUACUUUAAUAGAAAAAUUAACCUAAAUAACUGCCCAAUCAAUAAUCAUGUCUCAGUCUUAGGACUUCUUUGUGCAUUAGAAGAUUCAAUUGAUACAGAGGCACCUAACUUUGAUUUCAUUAUUAAAAAAAAAAAGAUUCUUAACUAAGUGUAUCUAAACCAAAGCCAAGAAAUCAUCAUCAUACUUGAUAGGCUUUAAACAGUAGAAGAAAAUUUUUUGAGCUUCAGUGGAAAAUAUAAAAAUCACCAGCCUUGUUCGUUCCAUGAGUUUACCUACUACAUUAUCAUCCUCUUAUUGCAAGUAAGAGCAUUUGCAAAGGUUGGAGUCAACUGAAGGUACCUCCCAGGCUCCCACAUCUUCUCCCACCAAUAUGCCAGAGAUUGGAUGGUCUUAGAAGAUCGUAUGAGCGAGUAGACGACGUGCUCCAGUUGCCAUUCAGCCAAUAAGUUCUCUGCCAUGAAAAGCAUACCAUGUGAGUGGAACAAGUCUCUAACAGGUCUCUCAACUUUCUGCUAUUUCGUUACAGUUCUCAUCUAUUUAAGUUUUAAUUAAUAGUCUAUUGAGGCUAACAUUUAAUGUAGGUGGCUCUUAUUAGUUGCCAAUACCAGCAGGAUCAAUAAUUGUGUACUAAACAAAGAGGCAAGCGCAUUAAAAUGCAUAGGACAAAUACCAUAUGUUUAACUCAAAUGAAUAUUCUACUUAAUUCUUUUUGAUUUGCCAUAAACCAAUUAAGUUUAACGGGGUUAAAAUUAGUCACUGGCCUUAUUAGCCUCAGUAUUAGGCUUGGGUAGACUCUAUUCUGUAGUGUCACGACUCAACUAACGGUUGUGCACAUAGGAGGGCUUCACCCAUCAUAGCAAGCCUUUGAAUCUUUAAAAAUUUCGACCUUGCCUAUAACUGAAACUAAUUCCAUUUUUGUACCUCUCUCAUAUCAUCCAAACUACAUCACUCAACAAUCCCAAGAGUAACAUCAUUCAUUUCACGUGUAAUAAUCAAGAUGCUAGACUAGCAAAAUAUAUAUAUCAGUGUCUCUCUCUUUUUCCCUUUUAUUUUUUUAACACAGUCUACCGCAUUACAAAGUUACAACCACCCAUAAGGUUCGCGGAUCAAUACAACUAAGAGUUUUCAAUAACUGUGUAACUGAAACAUAACAACAGAAAAAGAGGAAGUGGAACCAGCAUCACCCAUGGAAGGAAACGUGCGGCUCAGCACUGAAGUACACUAGCUCAAGUCUCGGUAUAGGAAUGAACACUUGUAUCUGUAGACAUAAAAGUAAGGAAUGAGUUCACUGACUCAACAAGUGAUAACUAAUUCAUAACGGGGUAAGAGUUUCAGAAAACACUAUAAUAUGCAAUAUAGGUAACACAAUAUUCUUUAAUAAACACAUUGCAGUGGCAAACUUUCAGUUUGCUAAUUGUGUCUGAUAUCUCUGUUCAAAAUACUACUUGUAACAAUUGAAACCACUCAACCCCCCCCCCCCCCCCCGCCAAAACAAAAACAAAAAUAUAAAAUAAAGGACUAUUUAAAAAGAAAACCUUCAAACCAACAUUCUAGAAUUUAAAAGACAAAUCUAGUCCACUUAUAAAGAUUAAGAAAGAGAAAACGGCCAAAAUUAUUCUUGAAUUCGGUCCCAAAAAAAGUCUGUACCGCUAGCCCAUUGGAACACUUAUGCCCCUCAAAACUAACGGACUCACAUCAGCCUUUUCCUUCUCUUGCCCAUAUCUAUGAAAAUUCAAUCUAAGAAAGAAUAAAGAUUCUAAUCAAUCUCACCCUUUACAUCUUCACACAGAAUACUCUUCAUCAUCAUAUCCAAAUCAUUUUCUUUCCUGUACUCGCAGCCAAGUUUUCCAUCAGUUCCAUUCAUUUACUCCACUUUCAACUCAAACAGAAAUUCUCUCAAACACCUACUGUGCAGCCACUUUUAA